GUAGGUGGCGAGCGUUGUCCGGAUUUAUUGGGUUUAAAGGGUGCGUAGGCGGCCCUGUAAGUCAGUGCUGAAAUAUCCCAGCUUAACUGGGAGGGUGGCAUUGAUACUGUGGGGCUAGAGUACAGAUGAGGUAGGCGGAAUUGACGGUGUAGCGGUGAAAUGCUUAGAUAUCGUCAAGAACACCUAUAGCGAAGGCAGCUUACUAGGCUGUAACUGACGCUGAGGCACGAAAGUGUGGGGAUCAAACAGGAUUAGAUACCCUGGUAGUCCACACUGUAAACGUUGAUUACUCGCUGUGUGCGAUAUACAGUACGCGGCCAAGCGAAAGCGCUAAGUAAUCCACCUGGGGAGUACGCCGGCAACGGUGAA
RNAcentral lists this ribosomal RNA (369 nucleotides) under uncultured bacterium. RNAcentral's name for it is "bacterial SSU rRNA". It matches the Rfam family "Bacterial small subunit ribosomal RNA", at positions 527 to 898 of the family's 1533-position model. The record is from RNAcentral.